This 540-nucleotide ribosomal RNA is filed under the name Fusarium oxysporum. RNAcentral's name for it is "eukaryotic LSU rRNA". The stretch from base 188 to 341 matches the Rfam family "5.8S ribosomal RNA". The record is from RNAcentral. Lineage: Eukaryota; Fungi; Ascomycota; Sordariomycetes; Hypocreales; Nectriaceae.
AACAAGGUCUCCGUUGGUGAACCAGCGGAGGGAUCAUUACCGAGUUUACAACUCCCAAACCCCUGUGAACAUACCACUUGUUGCCUCGGCGGAUCAGCCCGCUCCCGGUAAAACGGGACGGCCCGCCAGAGGACCCCUAAACUCUGUUUCUAUAUGUAACUUCUGAGUAAAACCAUAAAUAAAUCAAAACUUUCAACAACGGAUCUCUUGGUUCUGGCAUCGAUGAAGAACGCAGCAAAAUGCGAUAAGUAAUGUGAAUUGCAGAAUUCAGUGAAUCAUCGAAUCUUUGAACGCACAUUGCGCCCGCCAGUAUUCUGGCGGGCAUGCCUGUUCGAGCGUCAUUUCAACCCUCAAGCACAGCUUGGUGUUGGGACUCGCGUUAAUUCGCGUUCCCCAAAUUGAUUGGCGGUCACGUCGAGCUUCCAUAGCGUAGUAGUAAAACCCUCGUUACUGGUAAUCGUCGCGGCCACGCCGUUAAACCCCAACUUCUGAAUGUUGACCUCGGAUCAGGUAGGAAUACCCGCUGAACUUAAGCAUAUC